UCCGUAGGCGGAUUAUUAAGUCAGUGGUGAAAGUUUGCGGCUCAACCGUAAAAGUGCCAUUGAUACUGGUAGUCUUGAGUACAGUAGAGGUAGGCGGAAUUUAUGGUGUAGCGGUGAAAUGCAUAGAUACCAUAAAGAACACCGAUAGCGAAGGCAGCUUACUAUACUGAGACUGACGCUGAGGCACGAAAGCGUGGGGAGCGAACAGGAUUAGAUACCCUGGUAGUCC
This 229-nucleotide ribosomal RNA is filed under the name uncultured bacterium. Its description in RNAcentral is "partial 16S ribosomal RNA". It matches the Rfam family "Bacterial small subunit ribosomal RNA", at positions 568 to 796 of the family's 1533-position model. The record is from RNAcentral.